This 253-nucleotide ribosomal RNA is filed under the name uncultured bacterium. RNAcentral describes it as "partial 16S ribosomal RNA". It matches the Rfam family "Bacterial small subunit ribosomal RNA", at positions 524 to 776 of the family's 1533-position model. The record is from RNAcentral.
GACGAACCGUGCGAACGUUAUUCGGAAUCACUGGGCUUAAAGGGCGCGUAGGCGGGCCGAAAAGUCAGGGGUGAAAGCCCCCGGCUCAACCGGGGAAGUGCCUUUGAUACUGACGGCCUCGAGGGGGAUAGGGGCGUGCGGAACUUCCGGUGGAGCGGUGAAAUGCGUAGAUAUCGGAAGGAGCACCGGUGGCGAAAGCGGCGCGCUGGAUCCCUUCUGACGCUGAGGCGCGAAAGCCAGGGGAGCGAACGGG